CGUGUUGGAAGCCACCAUGUUCGGGACGAUGUGUUACAGCAGCCGGGGGAAGCUCACACUGCCGUGUUGGUUGGAUACCUGGGUGUUUCCCGUUUCUUGCUCUCCAGUGCUGCUGUGAGUUUUCUGCUGUGCAGGUCCUGCUGCAAACGGAGGAGCUGCAGAAGGAAGCUGAUCCCCCGAAACCCUUCAUGGGCUGAGAGUCAAACGAUGGACAAACACUCCCGGGACAAAGGAAUGAACACGCUUCACAGUUAAACUUUAACUAGUUUAACUCAACUAAACUUUAGCUCAUUCCUAAGAUUUAAAGCAACAGAACACAUCACGGAGACAAAGACGGAAGGUUUGGACCCUUAGCGAUAGUUUAAUCUCCAAAUGUAUAAGGGAUGCUGAGAAAAGCGACCUACGAAAAAUAUGUGUGGAGGAUCUCAUUUUAUAAAAUAGAGAAAUCCAAGAGCUCCCUACAGGGUAUAUGAUAACA
Long non-coding RNA from Myotis davidii, 478 nucleotides. RefSeq lists it as uncharacterized. The transcript has 2 exons. The record is from RefSeq and is a predicted model, not a curated record. NCBI's taxonomy places the organism in Eukaryota, Metazoa, Chordata, Mammalia, Chiroptera, Vespertilionidae.